UACGUAGGGAGCGAGCGUUAUCCGGAAUUAUUGGGCGUAAAGGGUGCGUAGGCGGUCAUUUAAGUCUUUGGUGUAAGUGCAGUGCUCAACGCUGUGAUGCUAAAGAAACUGAAUUACUUGAGUGUGGUAGAGGCAAGUGGAAUUCCAUGUGUAGCGGUAAAAUGCGUAAAUAUAUGGAGGAACACCAGUGGCGAAGGCGGCUUGCUGGGCCACAACUGACGCUCAAGCACGAAGGCGUGGGGAUCAAACA
Molecule: ribosomal RNA, 250 nt
Filed under: uncultured bacterium
Lineage: Bacteria
Description: partial 16S ribosomal RNA
Rfam family: Bacterial small subunit ribosomal RNA
Source: RNAcentral